GAGUUUGAUCAUGGCUCAGAUUGAACGCUGGCGGCAGGCUUAACACAUGCAAGUCGAGCGGUAACAGGGGUAGCUUGCUACCUGCUGACGAGCGGCGGACGGGUGAGUAACGCGUAGGAAUCUACCCAGUAGCGGGGGAUAGCCCGGGGAAACCCGGAUUAAUACCGCAUACGCCCUAUGGGGGAAAGCAGGGGAUCUUCGGACCUUGCGCUAUUGGAUGAGCCUGCGUCGGAUUAGCUAGUUGGUGGGGUAAAGGCCUACCAAGGCGACGAUUCGUAGCUGGUCUGAGAGGACGAUCAGCCACACCGGGACUGAGACACGGCCCGGACUCCUACGGGAGGCAGCAGUGGGGAAUAUUGGACAAUGGGGGCAACCCUGAUCCAGCCAUGCCGCGUGUGUGAAGAAGGCUUUCGGGUUGUAAAGCACUUUCAGUGAGGAGGAAAUGGUCAUAGUUAAUACCUGUGACAAUUGACGCUACCCACAGAAGAAGCACCGGCUAACUCCGUGCCAGCAGCCGCGGUAAUACGGAUGGUGCAAGCGUUAAUCGGAAUUACUGGGCGUAAAGCGCGCGUAGGCGGUCUGGUCAGUUGGGUGUGAAAUCCCCGGGCUUAACCUGGGAACUGCAUCCAAUAAUGCCAGGCUGGAGUAUGGGAGAGGGUAGUGGAAUUCCACGUGUAGCGGUGAAAUGCGUAGAUAUGUGGAGGAACACCCGUGGCGAAGGCGACUGCCUGGCCCAAUACUGACGCUGAGGUGCGAAAGCGUGGGUAGCGAACAGGAUUAGAUACCCUGGUAGUCCACGCUGUAAACGAUGUCAACUAGCCGUUGGAGGACUUGAUCUUUUAGUGGCGCAGCUAACGCGAUAAGUUGACCGCCUGGGGAGUACGGCCGCAAGGUUAAAACUCAAAUGAAUUGACGGGGGCCCGCACAAGCGGUGGAGCAUGUGGUUUAAUUCGAUGCAACGCGAAGAACCUUACCAGGUCUUGACAUCCUGAGAAUCCUGUAGAGAUACGGGAGUGCCUUCGGGAAUUCAGUGACAGGUGCUGCAUGGCUGUCGACAGCUCGUGUCGUGAGAUGUUGGGUUAAGUCCCGUAACGAGCGCAACCCUUGUCCUUAGUUGCUAGCAGGUGAUGCUGAGAACUCUAAGGAGACUGCCGGUGACAAACCGGAGGAAGGUGGGGACGACGUCAAGUCAUCAUGGCCCUUACGACCUGGGCUACACACGUGCUACAAUGGCCGGUACAAAGGGCAGCAAAGCGGUGACGUGGAGCCAAUCCCAUAAAACCGGUCGUAGUCCGGAUUGGAGUCUGCAACUCGACUCCAUGAAGUCGGAAUCGCUAGUAAUCGUAGAUCAGAAUGCUACGGUGAAUACGUUCCCGGGCCUUGUACACACCGCCCGUCACACCAUGGGAGUGGGUUGCACCAGAAGUGGCUAGUCUAACCUUCGGGGGGACGGUCACCACGGUGUGGUUCAUGACUGGGGUGAAGUCGGAACAAGGUA
This 1498-nucleotide ribosomal RNA is filed under the name metagenome. Its description in RNAcentral is "bacterial SSU rRNA". It matches the Rfam family "Bacterial small subunit ribosomal RNA". The record is from RNAcentral.